GGGUCAGUAGGUUGGUCGUGCCACCGGUACGUACUGGUCUCACUAAGUCCUCCUUCCUGAAGAACCGUAAUGCCAUUAAUUUGGUGUUGCGGGGAAACAGGACUGUUACUUUGAAAAAAUUAGAGUGUUUAAAGCAAGCUAACGCUUGAAUACAUUAGCAUGGAAUAAUGAAAUAGGACGAUCGAUCCUAUUUUGUUGGUUUCUAGGAUUGACGUA
RNAcentral lists this ribosomal RNA (216 nucleotides) under Glomeromycotina sp. RNAcentral's name for it is "partial small subunit ribosomal RNA". The stretch from base 54 to 216 matches the Rfam family "Eukaryotic small subunit ribosomal RNA", at positions 700 to 864 of the family's 1831-position model. The record is from RNAcentral. Lineage: Eukaryota; Fungi; Glomeromycota.